RNAcentral lists this ribosomal RNA (316 nucleotides) under uncultured bacterium. RNAcentral describes it as "bacterial SSU rRNA". It matches the Rfam family "Bacterial small subunit ribosomal RNA", at positions 28 to 334 of the family's 1533-position model. The record is from RNAcentral.
GACGAACGCUGGCGGCGUGCCUAAUACAUGCAAGUAGAACGCUGAAGACUUUAGCUUGCUAAAGUUGGAAGAGUUGCGAACGGGUGAGUAACGCGUAGGUAACCUGCCUACUAGCGGGGGAUAACUAUUGGAAACGAUAGCUAAUACCGCAUAACAGCAUUUAACCCAUGUUAGAUGCUUGAAAGGAGCAAUUGCUUCACUAGUAGAUGGACCUGCGUUGUAUUAGCUGGUUGGUGAGGUAACGGCCCACCAAGGCAACGAUCGGUAGCCGGACUGAGAGGUUGAACGGCCACAUUGGGACUGAGACACGGCCCAG